GCUUUUGUGGUGUAGUGGUCAGCACGCUGGAUGCGUAUUCCAGAGGUCCGUGGUUCGAGUCGGUGAAGGCG
This 71-nucleotide transfer RNA is filed under the name Stegodyphus mimosarum. It matches the Rfam family "tRNA". Rfam says of the family: Transfer RNA (tRNA) molecules are approximately 80 nucleotides in length. Their secondary structure includes four short double-helical elements and three loops (D, anti-codon, and T loops). The record is from Rfam by way of RNAcentral. Lineage: Eukaryota; Metazoa; Arthropoda; Arachnida; Araneae; Eresidae.